This 268-nucleotide ribosomal RNA is filed under the name uncultured bacterium. Its description in RNAcentral is "partial 16S ribosomal RNA". It matches the Rfam family "Bacterial small subunit ribosomal RNA", at positions 195 to 457 of the family's 1533-position model. The record is from RNAcentral.
AGCUUUUAAAAGGCGGCGUNAGCUGUCGCUAUGGGAUGGCCCCGCGGUGCAUUAGCUAGUUGGUAAGGUAAAGGCUUACCAAGGCGAUGAUGCAUAGCCGAGUUGAGAGACUGAUCGGCCACAUUGGGACUGAGACACGGCCCAAACUCCUACGGGAGGCAGCAGUAGGGAAUCUUCCACAAUGGACGCAAGUCUGAUGGAGCAACGCCGCGUGAGUGAAGAAGGUUUUCGGAUCGUAAAGCUCUGUUGUUGNUGAAGAAGGAUAGAG